This 627-nucleotide ribosomal RNA is filed under the name uncultured fungus. Its description in RNAcentral is "LSU rRNA". It matches the Rfam family "Eukaryotic large subunit ribosomal RNA", at positions 23 to 664 of the family's 3401-position model. The record is from RNAcentral. Lineage: Eukaryota; Fungi.
ACCCGCUGAACUUAAGCAUAUCAAUAAGCGGAGGAAAAGAAACCAACAGGGAUUGCCCUAGUAACGGCGAGUGAAGCGGCAAUAGCUCAAAUUUGAAAGCUGGCCUUUGGUCCGCAUUGUAAUUUGUAGAGGAUGCUUUUAGGCAGCCGCCGGUCUAAGUUCCUUGGAACAGGACGUCAUAGAGGGUGAGAAUCCCGUAUGUGACCGGCUCUGGCACCUUAUGUAAAGCUCCUUCGACGAGUCGAGUUGUUUGGGAAUGCAGCUCUAAAUGGGAGGUAAAUUUCUUCUAAAGCUAAAUACUGGCGAGAGACCGAUAGCGCACAAGUAGAGUGAUCGAAAGAUGAAAAGCACUUUGGAAAGAGAGUUAAAAAGCACGUGAAAUUGUUGAAAGGGAAGCGCUUGCAAUCAGACUUGGACUUGGCUGUUCAACCGGUCUUCUGACCGGCCUACUCAGUCUUGUCCAGGCCAGCAUCAGUUUCGGCGGCCGGAUAAAGGCCUUGGGAAUGUGGCUGCCUCUUCGGGGGCAGUGUUAUAGCCCAGGGUGUAAUACGGCCAGCUGGGACUGAGGUCCGCGCUUCGGCUAGGAUGCUGGCGUAAUGGUUGUAAGCGGCCCGUCUUGAAACACGG